This 488-nucleotide non-coding RNA is filed under the name Pan troglodytes (chimpanzee). Lineage: Eukaryota; Metazoa; Chordata; Mammalia; Primates; Hominidae. The record is from RNAcentral.
AUGAUGGCCCCCAGUUCCCAAAUGCCUACUAUAUUUCAGGAUUUCUCAGCAAGGAUUGGUAGAAUUUGACUUGACUGCUAGCCUUUAUCUGGACCGGACUUCACAAAGCAGGGUGAAAGAAUUCGCGUGAUCUCCAUGGUGGCUAAUCAUAUAAUUUCCAGUUUCAGCAGCUGGCACCAGCUAUUUGCUCCCCCGCUACCCAAGCAAUUCUAGUAACUGUGAGAUAUCCUAUGGCUCACAGAACAAAUGCCCAACUCCUUUCUACAGUCACGGGGUCAGAGUACACAGCCAACCUACUAGCAGAGCUGGAGUUAUGGUUUGAGCCAAAGUACAAGGAAGGAGGAAGCCCCAACCUACCCCGGACAUGCCCUGAAUGACACAGCCAUUUAGGGCCUGCCUAAGAUGCCAUUCUGUUUGCAAACACAUAUUACCUGCCAUAUCACUCAACAAAAUAAUUCCAUCAGAAGGCCUGAAGGCAAAUGACUAAU